This 301-nucleotide ribosomal RNA is filed under the name uncultured bacterium. Its description in RNAcentral is "partial 16S ribosomal RNA". It matches the Rfam family "Bacterial small subunit ribosomal RNA", at positions 509 to 807 of the family's 1533-position model. The record is from RNAcentral.
CAGUCGCCGCGGUAAUACGAAGGGGGCUAGCGUUGUUCGGAAUCACUGGGCGUAAAGGGUGCGUAGGCGGAUUCUUAAGUCAGGGGUGAAAUCCCGAGGCUCAACCUCGGAACUGCCUUUGAUACUGGGGAUCUUGAGUCCGGAAGAGGUGAGUGGAACUGCGAGUGUAGAGGUGAAAUUCGUAGAUACUCGCAAGAACACCGGUGGCGAAGGCGGCUCACUGGUCCGGAACUGACGCUGAGGCACGACAGCGUGGGGAGCAAACAGGAUUAGAUACCCCAGUAGUCCCUGUCUCUUAUAC